Molecule: ribosomal RNA, 590 nt
Filed under: uncultured Gammaproteobacteria bacterium
Lineage: Bacteria; Pseudomonadati; Pseudomonadota; Gammaproteobacteria
Description: partial 16S ribosomal RNA
Source: RNAcentral
GCUCUCCCUAUGGUCGACCUGCAGGCGGCCGCGAAUUCACUAGUGAUUCGUUUACCGCGGCUGCUGGCACAGAGUUAGCCGGUGCUUAUUCUGUCGGUAACGUCAAAACAGCAAAGUAUUAAUUUACUGCCCUUCCUCCCAACUUAAAGUGCUUUACAAUCCGAAGACCUUCUUCACACACGCGGCAUGGCUGGAUCAGGCUUUCGCCCAUUGUCCAAUAUUCCCCACUGCUGCCUCCCGUAGGAGUCUGGACCGUGUCUCAGUUCCAGUGUGACUGAUCAUCCUCUCAGACCAGUUACGGAUCGUCGCCUUGGUGAGCCAUUACCCCACCAACUAGCUAAUCCGACCUAGGCUCAUCUGAUAGCGCAAGGCCCGAAGGUCCCCUGCUUUCUCCCGUAGGACGUAUGCGGUAUUAGCGUCCGUUUCCGAACGUUAUCCCCCACUACCAGGCAGAUUCCUAGGCAUUACUCACCCGUCCGCCGCUCUCAAGAGAAGCAAGCUUCUCUCUACCGCUCGACUUGCAUGUGUUAGGCCUGCCGCCAGCGUUCAAUCUGAGCCAUGAUCAAACUCUAAUCGAAUUCCCGCGGCCG